Molecule: non-coding RNA, 74 nt
Organism: Aedes albopictus (Asian tiger mosquito)
Lineage: Eukaryota; Metazoa; Arthropoda; Insecta; Diptera; Culicidae
Source: Rfam
UGUUCUGUGGCUUACUUGGUUAAACCGCCGGUUUAGUGAAUACGGAGUCAUGGGUUCAAACCCCAUCAGAAUGC